This is a non-coding RNA of Cyanistes caeruleus (blue tit), 1358 nucleotides long. The record is from RefSeq and is a predicted model, not a curated record. Lineage: Eukaryota; Metazoa; Chordata; Aves; Passeriformes; Paridae.
CUAGCUGCCUACAUUUCCCCCCUCCUUAUGCUUAACUAAAUUGGCUAAAAUAUAAAAGAUACUGGUCAUAAAAAUUCUACCCUUUUUCUCAUUCUAUAUUUUAUAAAAAAUACAUUGCAUAGACUUGAGUAAAAACAUAAGAUACGCUACACUUAACUAAAAAGCUAACGCAUAAGAAGCUUAGGCAUAAUACCUAAGUAACUUUUAGGAGCUCUUGUUUAAAGCAGUUGCUGACGCUCUACUAACAUAAUGUCAACUCUCUCUAAGCGGCUUCUGACAAAUGACACAAGCCUAUUCAAAACACACGGUCCAAAGAUUAACACCAGUAAGAUCAGGCCCGAUCAGGGUGGAUACUAGGGUGGUCAGCCACAGAGACUUAAAUAGUGAUACGAACCACUCUUGUUGAUCCUCUCUAUCUCUUUUUCUCUGGGCUAGUCUUUCCCUCAAUUCAGCCACUGAGUCUCUGACCACUUCAGUGUGAUCAGCAUAAAAGCUCUUCCCUUAAGGCGACACAGAGGCCUCCUUGCUGCAUGAGCACAAGAUCUAGUCCUCGCCUAUUCUGCAGGACAACUUCAGAGAGUGAGGACAGUGACUGUUCUGGAAAGGAGAUAGACCUUUCAGUUCUCUGUAAGUCUUCAUCAAUUGUCAUUUGCUGCUGGGACAGUCCUUGUUGUUGGGUCACAAGGGCGGAGACACCUGUGCCAGCACCAGUUGCUCCCAGGCCAAGCAGCAUCGCUAUGGUCACACCUGUCACUAGUUCUCUUUUCCGAAGUCGGCCCAACUCACAUCGCCUGGUUGUAAAACUGUCACUUUUAGGAAAAAUGUCUCCAAGCUAUACAUCGAAGCUGGGGACGCCUGUUACAGUACUAUCUCUAAUUACUCUGCCUGUUGUUGGAUCUCAAAGAAGUCAUCAAAAGGGUUGGUAAGGAUGGCGUUCUGGUUCAGCCUGCGUUACAGCAGCUAGCCCUAGAAGCAGAAUGGUGCAAAAACAUCGAUAUUGUUUGGGUUUUACUGGCGUGGAAGUCUCCGAUGUCUUCAAGGUAUUUGCCGGCUUGUCACCCUCUUCUGUUGCUAGGGCCUACAGUUUACGAGGACGUCCACAAAUCCAUUCCUGUAGAAAGAAGCCUACAGUUUUCAUUAGCUUUAUUCUGGAGGUCUGGUUUAAUAGACUUAAGUGGACACCAUUUGACUCUACCUUCUUUUCUGACUGCUGCAUACCGGCGUCCUGUCAAAACCAAUUUUCACCCUUGUUCCCAUUCCCCCAGCUCAUUUCUAACUAUGACCGAUGUGCCUUCUUCUAGCGCUCAAAUGGCCCAAUGCUUUUGGGAUUUUGAGGAGAUUUAGGGAAUUUUGUGGCA